UACAGAGGGUGCAAGCGUUGCUCGGAAUUACUGGGCGUAAAGAGCUCGUAGGUGGCUUGUCGCGUUGUUCGUGAAAACUCACAGCUUAACUGUGGGCGUGCGGGCGAUACGGGCAGGCUGGAGUACUGCAGGGGAGACUGGAAUUCCUGGUGUAGCGGUGGAAUGCGCAGAUAUCAGGAGGAACACCAGUGGCGAAGGCGGGUCUCUGGGCAGUAACUGACGCUGAGGAGCGAAAGCGUGGGGAGCGAACAGG
RNAcentral lists this ribosomal RNA (253 nucleotides) under uncultured bacterium. Its description in RNAcentral is "partial 16S ribosomal RNA". It matches the Rfam family "Bacterial small subunit ribosomal RNA", at positions 524 to 776 of the family's 1533-position model. The record is from RNAcentral.